CCAAGGAGUCUAGCGUGUGCGCGAGUCAUUGGGAUAUUACUAAACCUAAAGGCGCAAUGAAAGUAAAAGUUCGUCUCGCACGAACCGAGGGAAGACGGUCGAUCCGUUUCGGAGCGACCCGCAUUCCCGGGGCGUCUCGUUCUCAUUGCGAGAAGAGGCGCACCAAGAGCGUACACGCUGGGACCCGAAAGAUGGUGAACUAUGCCUGGUCAGGACGAAGUCAGGGGAAACCCUGAUGGAGGUCCGUAGCGAUUCUGACGUGCAAAUCGAUCGUCGGAACUGGGUAUAGGGGCGAAAGACUAAUCGAACCAUC
RNAcentral lists this ribosomal RNA (313 nucleotides) under Scymnus longmenicus. RNAcentral describes it as "LSU rRNA". It matches the Rfam family "Eukaryotic large subunit ribosomal RNA", at positions 666 to 944 of the family's 3401-position model. The record is from RNAcentral. Lineage: Eukaryota; Metazoa; Arthropoda; Insecta; Coleoptera; Coccinellidae.